Molecule: ribosomal RNA, 466 nt
Filed under: uncultured bacterium
Lineage: Bacteria
Description: partial 16S ribosomal RNA
Rfam family: Bacterial small subunit ribosomal RNA
Source: RNAcentral
GACGAAUGCUGGCGGCGUGCUUAACACAUGCAAGUCGAACGGAAAGGCCCUGCUUUUGUGGGGUGCUCGAGUGGCGAACGGGUGAGUAACACGUGAGUAACCUGCCCUUGACUUUGGGAUAACUUCAGGAAACUGGGGCUAAUACCGGAUAGGAGCUCCUGCUGCAUGGUGGGGGUUGGAAAGUUUCGGCGGUUGGGGAUGGACUCGCGGCUUAUCAGCUUGUUGGUGGGGUAGUGGCUUACCAAGGCUUUGACGGGUAGCCGGCCUGAGAGGGUGACCGGCCACAUUGGGACUGAGAUACGGCCCAGACUCCUACGGGAGGCAGCAGUGGGGAAUAUUGCACAAUGGGCGGAAGCCUGAUGCAGCAACGCCGCGUGCGGGAUGACGGCCUUCGGGUUGUAAACCGCUUUCGCCUGUGACGAAGCGUGAGUGACGGUAAUGGGUAAAGAAGCACCGGCUAACUACG